RNAcentral lists this ribosomal RNA (431 nucleotides) under uncultured bacterium. Its description in RNAcentral is "partial 16S ribosomal RNA". It matches the Rfam family "Bacterial small subunit ribosomal RNA", at positions 30 to 507 of the family's 1533-position model. The record is from RNAcentral.
CGAACGCUGGCGGCAUGCCUAACACAUGCAAGUCGACCGAGACCUUCGGGUCUAGUGGCGCACGGGUGCGUAACGCGUGGGAACCUGCCCUUAGGUUCGGAAUAACUCCCCGAAAGGGGUGCUAAUACCGGAUAAUGUCUUCGGACCAAAGAUUUAUCGCCUUUGGAUGGGCCCGCGUUGGAUUAGCUAGUUGGUAGGGUAAAAGCCUACCAAGGCGACGAUCCAUAGCUGGUCUGAGAGGAUGAUCAGCCACACUGGGACUGAGGCACGGCCCAGACUCCUACGGGAGGCAGCAGUGGGGAAUAUUGGACAAUGGGCGAAAGCCUGAUCCAGCAAUGCCGCGUGAGUGAUGAAGGCCUUAGGGUUGUAAAGCUCUUUUACCCGGGAUGAUAAUGACAGUACCGGGAGAAUAAGCUCCGGCUAACUCCGUG